Molecule: ribosomal RNA, 1474 nt
Filed under: metagenome
Description: bacterial SSU rRNA
Rfam family: Bacterial small subunit ribosomal RNA
Source: RNAcentral
AGAGUUUGAUCCUGGCUCAGGACGAACGCUGGCGGCGUGCCUAACGCAUGCAAGUCGAACGGACGAGGCCCCUUCGGGGACCGAGUUAGUGGCGGACGGGUGAGUAACGCGUGAGCAACCUGCCUUUCAGAGGGGGACAACAGUUGGAAACGACUGCUAAUACCGCAUGAUGCAGCGAGAUCGCAUGGUCUUGCUGUCAAAGAUUUAUCGCUGAAAGAUGGGCUCGCGUCUGAUUAGCUAGUUGGAGGGGUAACGGCCCACCAAGGCGACGAUCAGUAGCCGGACUGAGAGGUUGAACGGCCACAUUGGGACUGAGAUACGGCCCAGACUCCUACGGGAGGCAGCAGUGGGGAAUAUUGGGCAAUGGGGGAAACCCUGACCCAGCAACGCCGCGUGAAGGAAGAAGGCUUUCGGGUUGUAAACUUCUUUUACCAGGGACGAAGAACGUGACGAUACCUGGAGAAAAAGCCACGGCUAACUACGUGCCAGCAGCCGCGGUAAUACGUAGGUGGCAAGCGUUGUCCGGAUUUACUGGGUGUAAAGGGCGUGUAGGCGGAGCUGCAAGUCAGAUGUGAAAUCUGGGGGCUUAACCCUAAAACUGCAUUUGAAACUGUAGCCCUUGAGUAUCGGAGAGGCAGGCGGAAUUCCUAGUGUAGCGGUGAAAUGCGUAGAUAUUAGGAAGAACACCAGUGGCGAAGGCGGCCUGCUGGACGACAACUGACGCUGAGGCGCGAAAGCGUGGGGAGCAAACAGGAUUAGAUACCCUGGUAGUCCACGCUGUAAACGAUGAAUACUAGGUGUGGGGGGACUGACCCCCUCCGUGCCGGAGUUAACACAAUAAGUAUUCCACCUGGGGAGUACGACCGCAAGGUUGAAACUCAAAGGAAUUGACGGGGGCCCGCACAAGCAGUGGAUUAUGUGGUUUAAUUCGACGCAACGCGAAGAACCUUACCGGGAUUUGACAUCCUACUAACGAAGCAGAGAUGCAUUAGGUGCCCUUCGGGGAAAGUAGAGACAGGUGGUGCAUGGUUGUCGUCAGCUCGUGUCGUGAGAUGUUGGGUUAAGUCCCGCAACGAGCGCAAUCCCUAUUGUUAGUUGCUACGCAAGAGCACUCUAGCGAGACUGCCGUUGACAAAACGGAGGAAGGCGGGGACGACGUCAAAUCAUCAUGCCCCUUAUGUCCCGGGCUACACACGUAAUACAAUGGCGGUCAACAAAGGGAAGCAAAGCCGCGAGGCAGAGCAAACCCCCAAAAGCCGUCUCAGUUCGGAUUGCAGGCUGCAACUCGCCUGCAUGAAGCUGGAAUUGCUAGUAAUCGUGGAUCAGAAUGCCACGGUGAAUACGUUCCCGGGCCUUGUACACACCGCCCGUCACACCAUGAGAGUCGGGAACACCCGAAGUCCGUAGUCUAACCCGCAAGGGAAGGCGCGGCCGAAGGUGGGUCUGAUAAUUGGGGUGAAGUCGUAACAAGGUA